This 465-nucleotide ribosomal RNA is filed under the name uncultured bacterium. RNAcentral's name for it is "partial 16S ribosomal RNA". It matches the Rfam family "Bacterial small subunit ribosomal RNA", at positions 338 to 795 of the family's 1533-position model. The record is from RNAcentral.
CCUACGGGAGGCAGCAGUGGGGAAUAUUGCGCAAUGGGCGAAAGCCUGACGCAGCGACGCCGCGUGAGGGAUGAAGGUCUUCGGAUCGUAAACCACUGUCAGCAGGGAAGAAGGGUCACUGUGCUAUUCAGCAGUGAAUUGACGGUACCUGCAAAGGAAGCACCGGCUAACUCCGUGCCAGCAGCCGCGGUAAUACGUAGGGGGCAAGCGUUAUCCGGAUUUACUGGGUGUAAAGGGAGCGUAGGCGGCAGUGUGAGUCUGGAGUGAAAGGCGGGGGCUCAACCCCCGGACUGCUCUGGAAACUGGACAGCUGGAGUGCAGGAGAGGUAAGUGGAAGUCCUAGUGUAGCGGUGAAAUGCGUAGAUAUUAGGAGGAACACCAGUGGCGAAGGCGGCUUACUGGACAGUAACUGACGUUGAGGCUCGAAAGCGUGGGGAGCAAACAGGAUUAGAUACCCCAGUAGUC